GAAGCUUUGUUUAUCAUUGAUGUUAUGUGUGAUCAACAAAAACUUAUGCUUCUCAUUCAAUAUUUGUCGAACUAUGUUGAUGUGUGAUUAUGCACUUGUUGGGCCCUUUUGCUGUACACCUGCACUUGUAGAACUAUUUUGUUGUGUACUUAUUGGGCCUUGAACCUUUACGUGUAGAGGAGUCGAUGGAUGAUGUAUUGUAAUUCAUAUGAUGUGCUACUGAAAUGAAAUAUAUACAACUAAUUUG
This 247-nucleotide long non-coding RNA is filed under the name Hordeum vulgare. RNAcentral describes it as "long non-coding RNA (HVUL_LNC003640)". Lineage: Eukaryota; Viridiplantae; Streptophyta; Magnoliopsida; Poales; Poaceae. The record is from RNAcentral.